This 4209-nucleotide long non-coding RNA is filed under the name Centruroides sculpturatus (bark scorpion). Its description in RNAcentral is "uncharacterized LOC111616562". The record is from RNAcentral. Lineage: Eukaryota; Metazoa; Arthropoda; Arachnida; Scorpiones; Buthidae.
AUAAUGAUUAUAAUUGAAUUGACGAACAAUUUAAGUCUUAAAAAAGCAAUAAGUUAAAUAAAUUGUAUGUUAAUUAAAGCCAGCAAUUAUUUAUUGUGACAUCACAAUGCCAGGCUGCAAUUUUUAAUAUAUUUCAUUUAAAAAAUAUAUUCUCUCCACCUCAAAUUAGUACCGUAUUGUCUUGCCCCUGUAUAUCAUGCUUUUUCAUUAGCAACGAAGUCAUGCCAGUCAUCUAUUAACUGCUUUUGGGGGGAAAAAUUUCAAAUUGAAAUAACAACUUCCAAUUUGUAUCAGAGGUUCAUUUAUAAUUAAUCAGGGUUUCCUGAGGAUUUCCUAUCUGGUCUUAUCUUUCAUCUAUCUAAUUCCAUUCUCAAGAUAAAAGAAUGACAGUGGGAAUUUAUAGGUCUAUGAUUUUUUUCAAAUUGCAGCCAAAUUGUCUUCACGAUUUUUCUUGGCUUUAGAUUCUUAGAAUAUAGUAAAUUAACAGAACACUUCUUGAUUAAUUUGUAAGGACAAAAAGCUAAUUCAUUCAGUUUCUUUAACCGAGAGGUUACUUUUGGUCAAAACAGAAGUACAAGUUUUGAGCCCACAAAAAUAUUUAAUCUUACAAGUGUUUCGAUUAACAGUAUAAUUGUUAGAUCUAGAAGAGAAAAAAUAAAUAAGGAAUAUUAUAAGAGACCGCAAUAGCAAAACAACCAAAAAUACAAAACGAAAUUUCAGUUAUACAACUAGCAUCCUUGCUUAGUAUCUGUUCCCAGUCAUCAAAUAUCCUAAAACAAGAAUGAUAUAAUGGUGCUUUCCGUCUUUGUUAUUCCUCCAAUCACACAAUUGUGUAUUUCGCUUUAGGAAAGAAAAAACUGUAGGAUUUUUGUGGGUUUCCUAAAGCGAAGUCGGACACUCGCAGAUUCUGGCAACAACAGGGAGGAAGUCGUGGUCGAGGAAAGAGGAAAGCACUCAAAAACGUGACCAAAAAUGACUUGUGGGAACGCUUAGAGAAGUGGUGCGGAUGCCAGCUCAAACAUAUAGCUUUUUCGAUGCAGUCACCAGAGCUUACAUCAAAGGAGAAGUAGGUGGGUCUGCAUGUCUCUCCGAAACUUCUCAUAAAGUGAAAAAACUAUCUUUGAAAUUACACUGGUUAAUUUUUUCUGCUUGAGAUUUUUUCCACAAAUUUGACAGUUACACUGUGUGCACAAUGUUGCAAGUAUGCAGAUUUGUAUAUAAAUAGACGGGCUGGUUAACUACCAGGCAAACUUGGGCAGCGAGUGCCAAUCGACCACAAUGAUCUUUAUCCAUUCCAUCAGCACUUAAGUGGUCCUACUCACUUCCAAAUUUCUAAUAUGUCUAUAAUAGAAAGUUAUCAUAUAAAUUUUGUUUGAAGCAACAUGUUACUAAUAAUAAUUUCUCUUUUGUACACGAUUGUAGGAACAUGCCUUUGAAUCCAGUCAGAAAUAUAAAGAAGGCAAAUUCAUCAUCGAGUUGGCCCACAUGAUAAAGGAGAACGGUUGGGACUAGACAUGGAAGACGAUCAACCGACGACAGGUUUCUACCAUGGAAUAUCAUUGGAUUUGCAGAAACGGUUACGUUAAAGACAAUAGGAUUAAUUCCGGUAAAAAAAGGACGGUCUGUUACGACUGUGUUCUCUCUACCGUCGCCGAUAGUGAAAAAAGACGACUCGACUACCAGCCUUCAUCUCUCGACGUAUCGACGUUACUUUGUUUUUUCUAUGGAAGACGACCGUAAGUUGAUGAUAUGUUACGCGGGCGCACGCCGCCCUCUCAUCAUCGUCAUCAUCCGACUGUACUCUGCGUGCGAUUCCUGAUACUUAAUACGAAGCUAAGCCGUACUGUUUUCUCGCUCGGCGCGUUACGCCGCCUUUUCCGUAACGGGGGACGGGUAACGGUACACGAGCUACGACCUAGUCAUUUAAUUUUUAAAAGACUGAAUUUAUUUUUUUAAAUCACUACUAUUUCUCUUAUUUUUUUAAAUUUCCGCAAGAAAAACAAACAAACAAAAAAAAAAAAGAAAACAACCGACAAGGAAGGCGGUAGCUGGGUAUCACACGCUGUAAAAAUCAUCACUUACGACAACUUUUCACUCACCAUACUUUGUACAUUCAUGACUUUUUGUACCAUUAUUUUUUUUCGCUUUUUAGCCUCCAUGCUUAGGUAUAAUCAUACAUUAACAAUAGUUGGCCCGUCUGGAGCGCGUCGACUUCGUUUCGCUUUUUAAAUUCUUCUAGUACUUGUGACGUAACUCUUCUUCUCGUUCAGGACGUAACAGAAAACAAUACUUUGUAGCGUGGUCUUUCCUUUUUACUAUCUUCGGAUUUUAAUUCAUCUCGUAUCCUAAGUGUCCUUUCAAAAAAAAAAAACAAAAAAAGUUUCGUGUGGUAUAGUGGCAUUCCAAAACUAUUUUGCUUAGGAGUCGAUUAAUCUGUACAUUAAAAAACACACGGCGGCGUCUUUACGCAAAUGGGCGUUUCUUUUGUUUCGUUGUCUUAGACUUAAAACAAAGAAAAAACUUUAUCUUCCAGUUGCUGCAAAGUUACAUAGAAACAUCAGUGAUCAAACAUUAUCAGGCUACUAGUCCAAACACGUGAUAAAUAGAAGGCAAACGUAACGGGAAAAAACAAGUAUAUAUACAUAUAUACAUAUAUAUAUAAAUGAUGUUAUAAUAAUACAUAAAUUUAAGCGUAAUUCUUUGCAGCUUUCAUUAUUCACAUCACACCACUCCGAUAGACAUUUGUUCGUUGCAUUUCAAAUAUCUAUUUGGGAUUUUAAUGUAUCGUAUCGCAACUUAGGCAGCAGUCGGUUGCGGGGAGGCGUUUCACACGGUAGAAAAACGGCGAGGGGUUCAGACGCAAUUAAAACACGAAAUUUAAAAAAUAAAUAAAUAAGAAAAAUGGGGAACGUAAAACUUUCCAAAAGGUACUUAGGGGGUAUUUAUCACGUUAUUAUUAUCAUCAUCAUGCAUGCAACCGUGCAGGUCACACGUGCAUGAGAUGUGUGGGGGCUUCGUAACAUUUAUUUUCUGUUAAUGCUGGCCAAUAGCAGAUAUCGUUCGAAAAUCGUUUCAAAUGUGGUGGCGUUGUUGUUGUUGUUGCACGAGGAGUAUUAUCGGUUUCCUCUUCCGAUCCGCGACCCCCCCACCCAACCCGUGCGCUUUUCCCGCAACCGACAGCGUCGUGCCAAUUUAUUGUAUUUAAAAAAAUAAUCCGAAUAAUAUACCAUUUGCACUAGUUUUUUCUCCCCCCCCCGUGUAAAUAGGAGCGAGGUGGUAAGAAAGGGUGUCUAAACAUGUAUUGUUUCUUAAUAGUAGCGAGAGUGUAUUUUCUCAAUAGUGAUGUUUUUAAUAUUCCGAGAAACAAAGGGAAAAUAAUAAUAAUAAUCUAUCCUGUAAAGUGAAGCGUUUGAAAUGAUCUACAGAUAAACGUAUCCCGAUAUAAAACUCUCCCCCCCCUUCUGGAAUGUAACAAAAUAUGACUAUUGACGAAACACUAGAAAAAAAAAAAUAAUAAUAAUAAUAAUACUUUUAUCUGUGGAUCAGAUCUCAGGUGUUUAUUUAAAUUUUGUUUGUUCGUCUUAUUAUUUUGUACAGUUUAAUUUAGUAAAAAUGCAGGAGUCAAUGCAAAGAGCACUCGUAACAUGUACAGCCUGUUUCCGUUUCCGGCCGAGCCUAAGUUCCGAGCAAAGAAAAAAAUAAUAAUAAUAACGAAAAAAAGUUUCCUUAAAAAUUUGCCCGCGUGACCGGUCCCGGGAGUAUGCGUGUUGUGUGUUAACGAAAAACACACGAUAAUUCCAAUCAGUGUUACGUGUAGUGUUUAUCAUUAAGUGUGUGUGUAUGUACUGUACGUCGGAGGGGGGGAAGGCAAGCGAGGGAAGACGGCACUUUUUUCCUACGCGUUUCGUUUCCUUCCCCCCUCCCCGGUUUAUUUCUUUUAUCGUUUUUUUUUUAAGGGAGAAAUUUAGGGCUUUUUACGUGUGUACAGUGUCGUAUAUAUAAUUAUCGAUUUAUGAUUUGGUGUUUUUUAUCCAUUCUUAAGAAUCGGUUGUGUGACGUGAGGUCGCGACCGGCGAGGGGUCGCCUAUAAAAAAUACUAAAUAAAACGAAUUUAAGUUAAAUAUAUUUAUUUGUAUCGAAUGUCUCUAGCCUUACGACUUGUGCUUCCUUUUGUUUUCUAAAUAAAGCUUAAUUUUUCUGCUUGGUGUA